AAAAUAUCAAAUAAAGUCCCGAGUAUAUAUUUACCCCAUGGGUACAUUUGUGUAUAUGCAAUUCUCGUCGUAUAAAUGAAGGAUAUGUAAUUUACUCAACAUUUUUUUUUAUUUACAAUUCGGAUAUAUUAAAUGAUAUUCACGCUUUAUAGCACAAACGUUAUAUGUUUUAGAAUUUCAUUUAUUCUAAAUAUUUCGCGUCAUCACAGACAAACUAUAUAAAGCAGUUCAUAUUGGAUGACAAAUAAAAUAUGACUCAUUUGGAAAACUAAACACAAAACAUCAAGGGUGACAAUGAUGACAUAUCUGCACAAAAUGAUAGAGAUGUAUGUACUGUAACUAGGAAACGGAACAGAAGAUAUCAGUGUAAACAUCAUCAUUCCAAUUGACGAGUCAAACAGAAAACAUUCCUUUGCGUCAAUCUGAUAGUGCAAACAGUGCGAGGAUAUUCAACAGUGCACAAUGCUUUGUUUACGGAACAUAUUAGUUUUCGGCGGUUUGUCCCUGACAAUGAAGCUAUCAACAGUAAAGUCGGAAUCAACUUCGCCACAAACAUCUGUAGUUUCGCAUGCCACAAUGGUUACAUCAAAAGUAUCUUCGUCAUCCACAAGAGUAACACAUGAAGUAGCUUUGCCUAACACAACGAUUACUCCAAAAAUAAAGGUCUCAAUUGCAACAGUCACACAAGCAGUAAAUUUGACAAACACAACCGUUACAACAGCAUUGACGACGCCGGUUGAAACACCGAAACCGGUAAUUACUUCGCUUGCCACAACGGUAACUCCAAGAAUAACGUCUUCAAUUGCAACAGUAACACAAACAGUACCUUUGACAAACACAACCGUUACCACAACAGUAACGACGCCUAUGGAAUCGGUAGGAACUUCGACAAACACAACGGUCACUCCAAAAAGAACAACAACCAUGCAUAACCUUCAUAGCAGAUCAGGAGCAAAGGAAAUCGGACUGACGCUAAUGGGAGCUUGUAUGUGUCUGAUACGUUUAAGGAUGGGACUAUAUGAAACCUUAGCGUGUCUUCUGCAGUGAUAGACGACAAGUGUUCCAAAAGGAUCGAUUAUCAAGGCAUAUAUAAAUAUAGUACUGUCUGAAGUUUAAUGUCUAAUUAAAGAUUUCUCAUCAAAUCGAUGCAGAUUAGUUUGAUGCUUAUUUUUCAUCAUAAAAUAUUGCAAGUUUUGAAGUAACGUAAAUUACAGUUUAGUGAGCCAUGAAACAUCUUUUUUAGCUGAAAAACUAUUGGUGUGUUUAAUUACGUGAUAAUUUUUUGAAUUAAAACUAGACCUUUUUUCAAUAAAACGGAAGUAUUUUACAAGAGAAAGCUUUGUUCGAAAGAUGAAAACUAUUUGGUAACGAACUUUAAAAUGCUGUAGUUUCCGAACACCCCAACGGCCAAGGCGUAAACAUGUCUUAAAAUGUUUGUAAGAUGAUACACUCAUAAAAUCAUGGUAUAAAAAUUCCAGUAGCGGGGGGGGGGGGAGACCUUUAAUCCCUCAUAGUCUAUACGUUAAUGCUAAUAGUGUUCCUGUUAUAGAAAGAAAGAAAUGGUAUAAAAAAUAAUUUCUAACUUUAAAGCGUUCUUAAUUCUAAAAUAGCAAAUCAUCAAGGAAAACAACCAUCAUUAUGGCUCCAUUCAGAAUAUAUUUUUAUCACAUGCUUACCCUUGUUUUCCGUGUAAUAUACCCAUUACGAAUAUUUUUAUCUUACACAUGUGUAAGAUAACAUAUCAGACAUUUCUAUUGGCUAGACUAAUCACACGCGACCUAGAUAUCCCUCCGCAUUGUUUGUAAACAAAAUGGUUUAAACGCCAACAAAUACUUACCUCAAUAAUGAAGCGGUAGGACUUCCGGGAGACAAAUGGCUAACGAAUCAUAGUGCCAGAAAGCAUCUUGUUCGAAAACUUUCUGAUAACAAUGUUCCGCCAACCAGAUAAUGCAGAUUACUAGCCACAGAAAUAUCCAGUCAGUCAACAAAUACAGCCACAUUAGUGACAAACAACACGAGAACAUUUCAAACAUCUCCAUCUUAACAGGCAAUAUGCGACCAAUGCCAUAAAAUUUGCUUGCCAGUUUAAUCAGCUGUCGGUUACCAAAACACAAAUACGAAUUCCGCAGCACAGGUUUUUUCAUCACACGUACGUCCCAAGACGGUAGAACAGCUUUUUCUCUGGAAACAUUCUUGAUGGAACUUUUUCAACAUCAACAUCCAUGCAGUGCAGAGUAAGGCUUCGUCGUAAUCAUCUGCAUGUUGUGAAAAUCCAUGUACACUAAGAAAACGCUUCAAAGUCAUCGUAGAAAGCGACAGCGAAUAACUUUUAAAUCCGUGCACACAGUAAAACUUGACAGACCGAUGUAGGUCACAUAAACCGCGUAAAGCAUGUACUCUCAGUGUGACGUCAUCAAAUUGUGUACUUAUUGUGUUUUAAUGGUUAAAAUUGUUCGUUAUUCAUGUUGUUGGAUAUUUUACUACACAUUUUUAUACUUGUGCCUUGU
Molecule: long non-coding RNA, 2507 nt
Organism: Mya arenaria
Lineage: Eukaryota; Metazoa; Mollusca; Bivalvia; Myida; Myidae
Exons: 3
Source: RefSeq, a predicted model, not a curated record